GGGUGUAUCCCGUGAGCUCAAAGUUGAGAGUGUACAUAAAGCGUGAUAUUUUUGGAACUCGCCAGUCAAAGGCUUGAGCUGGGUCGUCAAGUUCACAAGAGAAGGACAGAUAGCUGCUUCUGAAAGGCCUACAGACACCAGUCAUGGCAAUCAGAUCUUUGGACAACAUGCAGGUUCUCCUCAUGGUCAUCUUCCUUCUGCAAGUGACGCAGUCAUUGCCUCCAAACAGGCACAAGAGGCACUCGGACAGCCUGUUCACCAGUGAGUUAAGUAAACUGAGGAGAACUGUAGUGGCU
Carcharodon carcharias (great white shark) is the source of this 296-nucleotide long non-coding RNA. RefSeq lists it as uncharacterized. The record is from RefSeq and is a predicted model, not a curated record. The transcript is spliced from 3 exons. NCBI's taxonomy places the organism in Eukaryota, Metazoa, Chordata, Chondrichthyes, Lamniformes, Lamnidae.